CAGCAGCCGCGGGAACACCGAGGGUGCAAGCGUUAAUCGGAAUUACUGGGCGUAAAGCGCGCGUAGGUGGUUUGUUAAGUUGGAUGUGAAAUCUCCGGGCUCAACCUGGGAACUGCAUCCAAAACUGGCAAGCUAGAGUAUGGUAGAGGGUGGUGGAAUUUCCUGUGUAGCGGUGAAAUGCGUAGAUAUAGGAAGGAACACCAGUGGCGAAGGCGACCACCUGGACUGAUACUGACACUGAGGUGCGAAAGCGUGGGGAGCAAACAGGAUUAGAUACCCCGGUAGUCCCUGUCUCUUAUAA
Molecule: ribosomal RNA, 301 nt
Filed under: uncultured bacterium
Lineage: Bacteria
Description: partial 16S ribosomal RNA
Rfam family: Bacterial small subunit ribosomal RNA
Source: RNAcentral